GACGAACGCUGGCGGCGUGCUUAGCACAUGCAAGUCGAACGCUGAAGCUCAGCUUGCUGGGUGGAUGAGUGGCGAACGGGUGAGUAACACGUGAGUAACCUGCCCUCUUCUUUGGGAUAACGCCCGGAAACGGGUGCUAAUACUGGAUAUUCACUGAUUCUCGCAUGGGGGUUGGUGGAAAGGUUUUUUCUGGUGGGGGAUGGGCUCGCGGCCUAUCAGCUUGUUGGUGGGGUGAUGGCCUACCAAGGCUUUGACGGGUAGCCGGCCUGAGAGGGUGACCGGUCACAUUGGGACUGAGAUACGGCCCAGACUCCUACGGGAGGCAGCAGUGGGGAAUAUUGCACAAUGGGCGAAAGCCUGAUGCAGCGACGCCGCGUGAGGGAUGGAGGCCUUCGGGUUGUAAACCUCUUUCGCUCAUGGUCAAGCCGCAGCGUUGGGUUGUGGUGAGGGUAGUGGGUAAAGAAGCGCCGGCUAACUACGUG
RNAcentral lists this ribosomal RNA (482 nucleotides) under uncultured bacterium. RNAcentral's name for it is "partial 16S ribosomal RNA". It matches the Rfam family "Bacterial small subunit ribosomal RNA", at positions 28 to 507 of the family's 1533-position model. The record is from RNAcentral.